This 1396-nucleotide ribosomal RNA is filed under the name uncultured bacterium. Its description in RNAcentral is "16S ribosomal RNA". It matches the Rfam family "Bacterial small subunit ribosomal RNA". The record is from RNAcentral.
AGAGUUUGAUCCUGGCUCAGGAUGAACGCUAGCUACAGGCUUAACACAUGCAAGUCGAGGGGCAGCAUGGUCUUAGCUUGCUAAGGCCGAUGGCGACCGGCGCACGGGUGAGUAACACGUAUCCAACCUGCCGUCUACUCUUGGACAGCCUUCUGAAAGGAAGAUUAAUACAAGAUGGCAUCAUGAGUCCGCAUGUUCACAUGAUUAAAGGUAUUCCGGUAGACGAUGGGGAUGCGUUCCAUUAGAUAGUAGGCGGGGUAACGGCCCACCUAGUCUUCGAUGGAUAGGGGUUCUGAGAGGAAGGUCCCCCACAUUGGAACUGAGACACGGUCCAAACUCCUACGGGAGGCAGCAGUGAGGAAUAUUGGUCAAUGGGCGAGAGCCUGAACCAGCCAAGUAGCGUGAAGGAUGACUGCCCUAUGGGUUGUAAACUUCUUUUAUAAAGGAAUAAAGUCGGGUAUGCAUACCCGUUUGCAUGUACUUUAUGAAUAAGGAUCGGCUAACUCCGUGCCAGCAGCCGCGGUAAUACGGAGGAUCCGAGCGUUAUCCGGAUUUAUUGGGUUUAAAGGGAGCGUAGAUGGAUGUUUAAGUCAGUUGUGAAAGUUUGCGGCUCAACCGUAAAAUUGCAGUUGAUACUGGAUAUCUUGAGUGCAGUUGAGGCAGGCGGAAUUCGUGGUGUAGCGGUGAAAUGCUUAGAUAUCACGAAGAACUCCGAUUGCGAAGGCAGCCUGCUAAGCUGCAACUGACAUUGAGGCUCGAAAGUGUGGGUAUCAAACAGGAUUAGAUACCCUGGUAGUCCACACGGUAAACGAUGAAUACUCGCUGUUUGCGAUAUACAGCAAGCGGCCAAGCGAAAGCGUUAAGUAUUCCACCUGGGGAGUACGCCGGCAACGGUGAAACUCAAAGGAAUUGACGGGGGCCCGCACAAGCGGAGGAACAUGUGGUUUAAUUCGAUGAUACGCGAGGAACCUUACCCGGGCUUAAAUUGCAGAUGAAUUACGGUGAAAGCCGUAAGCCGCAAGGCAUCUGUGAAGGUGCUGCAUGGUUGUCGUCAGCUCGUGCCGUGAGGUGUCGGCUUAAGUGCCAUAACGAGCGCAACCCCUAUCGACAGUUACUAACGGGUGAAGCCGAGGACUCUGUCGAGACUGCCGGCGCAAGCCGCGAGGAAGGUGGGGAUGACGUCAAAUCAGCACGGCCCUUACGUCCGGGGCGACACACGUGUUACAAUGGCAGGUACAGAAGGCAGCCAGUCAGCAAUGACGCGCGAAUCCCGAAAACCUGUCUCAGUUCGGAUUGGAGUCUGCAACCCGACUCCAUGAAGCUGGAUUCGCUAGUAAUCGCGCAUCAGCCAUGGCGCGGUGAAUACGUUCCCGGGCCUUGUACUCACCGCCCGUCA